Paramuricea clavata is the source of this 310-nucleotide non-coding RNA. NCBI's taxonomy places the organism in Eukaryota, Metazoa, Cnidaria, Anthozoa, Malacalcyonacea, Plexauridae. The record is from the annotation of a GenBank genome assembly.
GGGGGGGGGGGGUAUUCCCAUUUCCCAGCCCAAAUUUUGACUAAAUCCAUUGUCCCAGAGCACAAAUCCCAUCAUCUCAGUGGCUGUCCUGCUCAAAUCUUAAUCUCGUUCCCAUUUUCUAUUGUUUUUUUUUCCGAUGAAUCCCAGUCCCAGUGCAUGAAAUCCCAUUUUCCCACCCAAAAAUAAGCAAAUCCCAGUUCCUAUUUUACCCCUUCAGGACCCUCAUAUAACAAGAAUGUUACAAGGUUGACGACACAAGGUUGUAACAAUAUUGUUAUAUCAUGACUGUAUCAGACUUGUUAGAACAACC